AACGAACGCUGGCGGCAUGCCUAACACAUGCAAGUCGAACGAGACCUUCGGGUCUAGUGGCGCACGGGUGCGUAACGCGUGGGAACCUGCCCUUAGGUUCGGAAUAACUCCCCGAAAGGGGUGCUAAUACCGGAUAAUGUCUUCGGACCAAAGAUUUAUCGCCUUUGGAUGGGCCCGCGUUGGAUUAGCUAGUUGGUAGGGUAAAAGCCUACCAAGGCGACGAUCCAUAGCUGGUCUGAGAGGAUGAUCAGCCACACUGGGACUGAGACACGGCCCAGACUCCUACGGGAGGCAGCAGGGGGGAAUAUUGGACAAUGGGCGAAAGCCUGAUCCAGCAAUGCCGCGUGAGUGAUGAAGGCCUUAGGGUUGUAAAGCUCUUUUACCCGGGAUGAUAAUGACAGUACCGGGAGAAUAAGCUCCGGCUAACUCCGUG
Molecule: ribosomal RNA, 433 nt
Filed under: uncultured bacterium
Lineage: Bacteria
Description: partial 16S ribosomal RNA
Rfam family: Bacterial small subunit ribosomal RNA
Source: RNAcentral